AGAGUUUGAUCCUGGCUCAGGAUGAACGCUGGCGGCGUGCCUAACACAUGCAAGUCGAGCGAAGCGCGCCCCGGAAUCCUUCGGGAGGAAGGGUCGCGACUGAGCGGCGGACGGGUGAGUAACGCGUGGGCAACCUGCCCCAUACAGGGGGACAACCCGCCGAAAGGCGGGCUAAGCCCGCGUAUAUCGCCCCGGGGCAUCCCGGGGGGAGGAAAGGAGCGAUCCGGACAGGGAUGGGCAUGCGGCGCAUUAGCUGGUCGGCGGGGUAACGGCCCACCGAGGCGACGAUGCGUAGGGGUUCUGAGAGGAAGGCCCCCCACACUGGUACUGAGACACGGACCAGACUCCUACGGGAGGCAGCAGUAAGGAAUAUUGGUCAAUGGGCGGGAGCCUGAACCAGCCAAGCCGCGUGAGGGAAGAAGGUACAGCGUAUCGUAAACCUCUUUUGUCAGGGAACAAAGGCGGGGACUAGUCCCCGGAUGAGGGUACCUGAAGAAAAAGCAUCGGCUAACUCCGUGCCAGCAGCCGCGGUAAUACGGAGGAUGCGAGCGUUAUCCGGAUUUAUUGGGUUUAAAGGGUGCGCAGGCGGCCUGUUAAGUCAGCGGUAAAAGCCCGGGGCUCAACCCCGGCGAGCCGUUGAAACUGGCGGGCUGGAGUUGGAGAGAAGUACGCGGAAUGCGCGGUGUAGCGGUGAAAUGCUUAGAUAUCGCGCAGAACCCCGAUUGCGAAGGCAGCGUACCGGCUCCACACUGACGCUGAGGCACGAAAGCGUGGGUAUCGAACAGGAUUAGAUACCCUGGUAGUCCACGCAGUAAACGAUGAAUGCUUGCUGUCCGGGCAGAA
Molecule: ribosomal RNA, 843 nt
Filed under: uncultured bacterium
Lineage: Bacteria
Description: bacterial SSU rRNA
Rfam family: Bacterial small subunit ribosomal RNA
Source: RNAcentral